AGUGAACGCUGGCGGUAGGCCUAACACAUGCAAGUCGAACGGCAGCACAGUAAGAGCUUGCUCUUACGGGUGGCGAGUGGCGGACGGGUGAGGAAUACAUAGGAAUCUACUUUUUCGGGGGGGAUAACGUAGGGAAACUGACGCUAAUACCGAAUAUGUUCUACGGGAGAAAGCAGGGGUUCUUGGGACCUUGCGCGACUCAAAGAGACGAAGUCGGAUUAGCUAGUUGGCGGGGUAAAGGCCCACCAAGGCAACGAUCCGUAGCUGGUCUGAGAGGAUGAUCAGCCACACUGGAACUGAGACACGGUCCAGACUCCUACGGGAGGCAGCAGUGGGGAAUAUUGGACAAUGGGCGCAAGCCUGAUCCAGCCAUACCGCGUGAGUGAAGAAGGCCUUCGGGUUGUAAAGCCCUUUUGUUGGGGAAGAAAAGCAGCAGAUUAAUACCCCGCUGUUCUGACGGUACCCAAAGAAUAAGCACCGGCUAACUUCGUG
Molecule: ribosomal RNA, 492 nt
Filed under: uncultured bacterium
Lineage: Bacteria
Description: partial 16S ribosomal RNA
Rfam family: Bacterial small subunit ribosomal RNA
Source: RNAcentral